Topomyia yanbarensis is the source of this 1894-nucleotide RNA transcript. It is a transcript of the gene named ficolin-1-like, with no coding region annotated. Lineage: Eukaryota; Metazoa; Arthropoda; Insecta; Diptera; Culicidae. The record is from RefSeq and is a predicted model, not a curated record. The transcript is spliced from 5 exons.
ACUGACAAGUUCUAAAAAUUUCGUCAGUGAUAAUGAAAUUCACAAAAAUAUUGUUCGUUGUAGUCCUGCAUUUUUGCACUCUGCAAAUCAUCACCGGAACACAAACGAACGAAACUUACCCAGCAAAUAGCGGUUUUGGAUAUGAGCUAGUUUUGGAAAGAUUAGACUUUCUCGAAUUCAAAUUUCAAGAGCUGUUUGUGCAAAUCAAGGAGCAAGCUGAGAUAAUUGAAAAUAAUCAACGUCGCAUUGAAAGUAGCCAAACCGAUCUCCAAUGGAAGUUGGAAACCUCGGACAAGAAAACUGUCUUGCUGGUUCGCCAACUGGACAGUUCUAUAUCCGAUCAUGUGACCUUGAUCAACGGGAAUUUGUCUAUCGUGAAUGCUGCCGUGGCACAGGAUGCGACGCAUACCACCGACUUGAUGGAAGAUCUGGAGCAUUCGUUAUCUAAAAAUAUGUCCGAUGUUAAAGAUUAUUCCAGAAAAAUUUUGGAACUUCAAACAAUCUGUUCAAACCACGAUUCGAUAAAGAGUGCUCUGUUUGAGCUGCAGCCAAAGAAGCGCACAAAUGCUAAUGCUACAACUACCGAGAGAGCACUCGGAAAUUGUCAAGAAGAACCAACUAAAGUUUCCGGUCUAUAUCAGCUAGAACUCAACGGAGAGGGUUCUGAGUUAGUUACGGUAUUUUGUGAACAGCAACAAUAUGGCGGUGGCUGGUUGGUGAUAAUGCAACAGUCCAAGGGAUUGGUUGAUUUCAAUCGCAGUUGGGCUGACUACAAGAAUGGGUUUGGUGAUAUUGGAGGGGACUUCUGGAUGGGUCUGGAACAGAUUCAUCAAAUAGUUUCAAAGGCCAAGUAUGAACUGCUGAUUGAUAUGGUCGACUUCGACAACGACAAUUGGUACGCUAGAUACUCAUGGUUUUCAAUUGGCGGCGAAAAUGAAAUGUACAUGCUCGACCAUGCGGACAAUUAUUCUGGAUCAGCAGGGGAUUCACUGUCCCGGCAUGUGGAACAUAAAUUCACCACAUUCGAUGUUGACAAUGAUCCAUACAACGGAAAUAAUGCAGUUCAUUACGGAGGUGGAUGGUGGUACCACGAUGAUCUAGAUAGUCAUCUAACAGGAAAAUUGUCUUCCCAGAGGAAUAAGAAGAGCUUAGUUUGGGGCUCUUUCGGAUCGGAAGCCCAUCCAUUGACAUCAGUCAAAAUGAUGAUACGUAAAUACGCUUUGUUACGAUGCCAGAAUGCAGCCAAUUUAGCAGUUCAUUUGCGAAAGGAACCUUGACGACAAUAUCGAAGACAAUCGAGGAAUAUGAUGAUCACAACAGAAAGCCGAAUAAUCGUUCAAGGGAGAUAACGCAGUGAAGGUGUCAGAUGACGAAGCAGUUUUUUCCCAAAAUUAUAUAUCGCCAGAUUUCUUAAACAUUAAAUUAAAAUAUACCCUAUUUCGCUAAAAGUAAAGUUUAGGAUAACAAUGUCUAAGUUUAUAAAUAUUCUAAAUUAAUAUUAUCCUAAAAUAGUAAGUAGCAACAAGAUUAAUUUGAUCCUAUAUAUACUAAACAUGCGUGAAUUUAUAACUUAGGCUAAACUAAACUAAGCUAAACUAAACGGAUAAACACUUAGAGUGAGCAGAAAGGAUUUGUCACUAAAGAUCCAUUUGGAGAGGUAAAUUACCAUCGAACAGCCAAGAAAUCAUUACAAUUUGUAUGUAUUACAGUAGGUACCAGUUGAGGUUAGGUUGAGCUCUACUAAGAGGGACGUAUGAGAUCGAUUCUCAUCUCAUCUAAAGCCAUAUCACUAUAAUUUCUACAGCUGAUCAUCACACUACAACAGUAUUUACGAUCUGCUACGAGAAACAGUGGGCCACACGUUACUUGAAGUAACACGCUUCUUGAAGUCCGG